UAUCAAAACAUAAAAGUGAUUCAUCUGCAAUUAGAAUUUUGACGUUCGAGAAAAUUUCAGAAUUGUGUAUUCUUAUAAGUGUAAUUAUAUUAAAAAGCUAUAUAUAUAUAUAGAUAUUUUCCAAUAAUGUCUGUAAAUACAGCACACGCCAAUAAUGGUGUGUUGAUACACGCCGGAGAGUAUAUUUUACUGCAUAGUGAUGGCGUUACUAUGGAUUUCUCCGGUCAGGACAAUCCGGUGUUUAAGGGCUCAAAGCAAGGACGUAUUUAUCUGACGUCACAUCGCCUGAUUUUUAACAAUAAAAAACCGGCGGAUCAGCUGCAAUCGUUUAGCGCACCCUUCAUCGCGCUGUCUGAUGUUGAAUUGGAGCAACCAGUCUUCGGUGCCAACUAUAUUAAGGCCAAGGUACGUGCGCAACCAAAUGGCAACUUCAUUGGAGAGGUAAAAUUCAAGUUGCACUUCAAAUCUGGUGGCGCCAUUGAGUAUGGACAAGCUUUGUUACGCGCUGCUAGCACAGCUCAAAGUAAUUACCAUCGUGGUGGCGCUCCCAACGAUGAUCCACCACCAUACACACCAUCAGGUGCUUGGCAUGAGGCGCCACCACCAGCCUAUCAGCCACCACCAGGCUACUAUGGUUGGUUGCCUACACACGAGGCAUUCAGCGGCCCAGCAAACGGCACGGUGUUCGUAAGCGAUAAUCCACCACCAUAUCCUGGCAUUGGCGGACCACCAGCUUAUGCGCCGCAACCAUAUGCCCAACCUGGCUUUAAUCCGCAACAGCCCUAUGGUGGCUAUAAUCCACAACAACCACAAACUGGUUACAAUCCACAACCUGGCUAUAACCCACAACAGCCACAACCUGGUUAUAAUCCACAACAGCCACAAGGUGCUUGCAAUCCACAGCAACAAUACGGCAACAAUGAUACAGCCUGGAACGGCUUUUCAGCACCACCAACCGAUCAACCACAACAACAACCAGCACCUGGCAACCAACCACCGCCUUAUGCAGCUGGUGGUUACGGCCAACCAGGCGGUUAUCCCUCGGCUGCUCCCGGUGGCUACAAUCCAGCUUAUAACCCAGGUUACAAUCCUGGUUAUCAAGCAGGUGGCUAUCCCCAACCGGGUGGCUAUCCACCACCAGGCGGUGCACCAGGUGGCGCUGCGGCCGGCGCAAUGGGCUUUGGCAUGCCGCCAGCAAUGUUUUAAAAAAAGUGUCGCACAAGCAUGCAACAGCCUAAACUACAAAUAUUUAACGUCGCAAAAAACCAUAGGUCCAAAAACAAAAACCCAUACCAGAUUCUAAGGAAGCGGAGGCAAUGGCCAGCGCCCAAAAUACAACAAACAACCAAUAUUCCAAUAACGCUGCACCCAGUGAUUUGCCACCAGCAUAUGAUGCUCUACCACCCAACUAUGACAGCGCCAAUAAGAAGAAUCAGUAACCAGUACAAUAACAACAUCCAUAAACCUGAAGAUGCGUUUGUUUACAAUUUUUCACAUAACGGCUAAUCUAUAGAACGAGCACACAAAACACGUCACAACUUUUGAAAUGUAGAUAUGGUUUAAUUAGUAAAAAUUGUUAUAAUAUGCGGUUAACAAGCUGGCUGCAAGGCUUUGAUUCAUUGUAUGUGAAAUUUAUGUGCAUAUUUUAUUCAUUCCGCUCAACUUGCGCGUAAAAUAAUUACAUAUACACCCUCUAUACAUACGUAUACUUAUAUAAAAUAUGCCUUCUUUAUAUGUUUCCAAUCUAAACGUUAUAUAAAUCUAUUAAAACUAUAUACCUGCAUGCUUAUACCCACAAAAUAUAUAUACACAUAUUACGAAAGUAGCUGCAAUAACAAAUUAGUGCACCCAUUAAAUAUAAUCAAAGCAUUUUUUUGUAAAAAAAAAAAUAUUAAAUGCCAAUAAUUAAUUUUUAUAUAAUCGUUGAAGUAUUUUCAAAAUUUCUAAUGCAGUAUUUCCUUGUAAGCAAUUGGCUAUCGUAAAAAUUGUUUUGUAAAAUCUUUUGUAUUAUGCAAAUUGUGUACAUUUUGUUACAGUUAAACUGGUACACAAAUUUGUUUUUUUUUGAUUAUUGUAUUUAUAUAUUAUCAAUCUAAUUGAAAUAAAUAAAGUAAGCCUAAGCUGAA
RNA transcript from Zeugodacus cucurbitae (melon fly), 2126 nucleotides. It is a transcript of the gene named WW domain-binding protein 2, with no coding region annotated. The record is from RefSeq and is a predicted model, not a curated record. Lineage: Eukaryota; Metazoa; Arthropoda; Insecta; Diptera; Tephritidae. The transcript is spliced from 7 exons.